RNAcentral lists this small nuclear RNA (332 nucleotides) under Erinaceus europaeus (western European hedgehog). Its description in RNAcentral is "7SK RNA". It matches the Rfam family "7SK RNA". From Rfam's summary of the family: 7SK was discovered as an abundant small nuclear RNA in the mid-70s but a possible function has only recently been suggested. Two independent studies have found that 7SK RNA binds the CDK9/cyclin T complex (known as elongation factor P-TEFb). Lineage: Eukaryota; Metazoa; Chordata; Mammalia; Eulipotyphla; Erinaceidae. The record is from Rfam by way of RNAcentral.
AGAUGUGAGGGUGAUCUGGUUGCAACAUCUGUUACCCCAUUGAUUGCCAGGGUUGAUUCGGCUAAUCUGGCUGGCUAGGCAGGUGUUCCCUUCCUUUCUCACUGCUCCAUGUGUGUCCCUCCUGAAGCUAUAUGCUCAGCUGAAGAGGACAGCCUUCCCCAAAUAGAGACAGACCAGUCUUUAGUCAAAGGUGUAUGAGUAGCUGUGCUCUCCUGAUAGAACCUUCAAACAAGCUCUCAAGGUCCAUUUGUAGGAGAACAUAGGGUAGUCAAGUUUCCAAGACCCCAGACACAUCCAAAUGAAGUGCUGCAUGUGGCAGUCUGCCUUUCUUU